CGAACCACCUGUUGAUUGUACUUCAUCAGGUGCUCUGGUAACGUUGAAAAUCCCGGCACUUGUUGGAGUGCAAUUCACUUGCUGGCAUC
This 89-nucleotide microRNA precursor is filed under the name Cinara cedri. The stretch from base 8 to 81 matches the Rfam family "mir-305 microRNA precursor family". Lineage: Eukaryota; Metazoa; Arthropoda; Insecta; Hemiptera; Aphididae. The record is from RNAcentral.